GAUCAUUACCGAGUGAGGGCCCUCUGGGUCCAACCUCCCACCCGUGUUGCACGAACCUGUGUUGCUUCGGCGGGCCCGCCGAAGCCCCCCUCUGAACGCUGUCUGAAGUUGCAGUCUGAGACAACUAGCUAAAUUAGUUAAAACUUUCAACAACGGAUCUCUUGGUUCCGGCAUCGAUGAAGAACGCAGCGAAAUGCGAUAACUAAUGUGAAUUGCAGAAUUCAGUGAAUCAUCGAGUCUUUGAACGCACAUUGCGCCCUCUGGUAUUCCGGAGGGCAUGCCUGUCCGAGCGUCAUUGCUGCCCUCAAGCACGGCUUGUGUGUUGGGCCCCGUCCCCCCCGCUCCGGGGGGGACGGGCCCGAAAGGCAGCGGCGGCACCGCGUCCGGUCCUCGAGCGUAUGGGGCUUCGUCACCCGCUCUU
This 421-nucleotide unclassified non-coding RNA is filed under the name Penicillium citrinum. RNAcentral's name for it is "sequence contains 18S rRNA gene, ITS1, 5.8S rRNA gene, ITS2, 28S rRNA gene". The stretch from base 142 to 295 matches the Rfam family "5.8S ribosomal RNA". The record is from RNAcentral. Lineage: Eukaryota; Fungi; Ascomycota; Eurotiomycetes; Eurotiales; Aspergillaceae.